Molecule: unclassified non-coding RNA, 330 nt
Filed under: plant metagenome
Description: partial contains 5.8S ribosomal RNA, internal transcribed spacer 2, and large subunit ribosomal RNA
Rfam family: 5.8S ribosomal RNA (bases 1-106)
Source: RNAcentral
GAAAUGCGAUAAGUAAUGUGAAUUGCAGAAUUCCGUGAAUCAUCGAAUCUUUGAACGCACAUUGCGCCCUCUGGUAUUCCGGGGGGGCAUGCCUGUCCGAGCGUCAUUGCGAACCCCUCAAGCACGGCUUGUGUGAUGGGCCCUCCCGCGUCUUGGUCGUCAAGACGGGCCCGAAAUGCAGUGGCGGCUUCGCGGUUAUCCGAUCAGCCAGAGCGUAUGGGGACUCUCUCUCUUGUCACCCGCCCGCGGCGCGGACCGACGCCUGUCGACCUUUAUUCAUCUUCUCUCGGUUGACCUCGGAUCAGGUAGGGAUACCCGCUGAACUUAAGC